AGCUUUGCGCAGUGGUAGUAUCAUAGCCUAUGAGGUCUAUCCGAGGCGUGAUUAUUGCUAGUUGAAAACUUUAACCAAUACCCCGCCUUGACGUCUUGAAAUAUAGUCGGCGAUGGCAAUUUUUGGUAGUCUCUGUGGAGG
Small nuclear RNA from Mola mola (ocean sunfish), 141 nucleotides. Its record names the gene U4. It matches the Rfam family "U4 spliceosomal RNA". Rfam says of the family: U4 small nuclear RNA (U4 snRNA) is a component of the major U2-dependent spliceosome. The structure of U4 snRNA from yeast and human has been reported. Lineage: Eukaryota; Metazoa; Chordata; Actinopteri; Tetraodontiformes; Molidae. The record is from Ensembl.